RNAcentral lists this ribosomal RNA (253 nucleotides) under uncultured bacterium. Its description in RNAcentral is "partial 16S ribosomal RNA". It matches the Rfam family "Bacterial small subunit ribosomal RNA", at positions 524 to 776 of the family's 1533-position model. The record is from RNAcentral.
UACAGAGGGUGCAAGCGUUAAUCGGAAUUACUGGGCGUAAAGCGCACGUAGGUGGCUAUUUAAGUCGGAUGUGAAAUCCCCGGGCUUAACCUGGGAACUGCAUUCGAUACUGAAUAGCUAGAGUCUGGUAGAGGGUGGUGGAAUUCCAGGUGUAGCGGUGAAAUGCGUAGAUAUCUGGAGGAACAUCAGUGGCGAAGGCGGCCACCUGGACUGAGACUGACACUGAGGUGCGAAAGCGUGGGGAGCAAACAGG